UCGGGAAUUUUGGGCAAUGGGCGAAAGCCUGACCCAGCAACGCCGCGUGAAGGAUGAAGUAUUUCGGUAUGUAAACUUCGAAAGAAUAGGAAGAAUAAAUGACGGUACUAUUUAUAAGGUCCGGCUAACUACGUGCCAGCAGCCGCGGUAAUACGUAGGGACCAAGCGUUGUUCGGAUUUACUGGGCGUAAAGGGCGCGUAGGCGGUCUAUUAAGUGUGAAGUGAAAUCUCCAGGGCUCAACCCGGAAACUGCUUUGCAUACUGAUAGACUGGAGGGACGCAGAGGUUGACAGAAUUCCCGGUGUACCGGUGAAAUGGGUAGAUAUCGGGAGGAAUACCGAUGGCGAAGGCAGUCAACUGGGCGUUUCCUGACGCUGAGGCGCGAAAGCGUGGGUAGCAAACAGGAUUAGAUACCCAUGUAGUCCCUGAGCGGGCUGGCAAGGCGCAU
This 448-nucleotide ribosomal RNA is filed under the name uncultured bacterium. RNAcentral describes it as "bacterial SSU rRNA". It matches the Rfam family "Bacterial small subunit ribosomal RNA", at positions 355 to 825 of the family's 1533-position model. The record is from RNAcentral.